AACAGGAUUAGAUACCCUGGUAGUCCACGCCGUAAACGAUGUCGACUAGCCGUUGGGCUCCUUGAGAGCUUUGUGGCGCAGUUAACGCGAUAAGUCGACCGCCUGGGGAGUACGGCCGCAAGGUUAAGACUCAAAUGAAUUGACGGGGGCCCGCACAAGCGGUGGAGCAUGUGGUUUAAUUCGAUGCAACGCGAAGAACCUUACCUACCCUUGACAUCGUGCGAACUUUCCAGAGAUGGAUUGGUGCCUUCGGGAGCGCACAGACAGGUGCUGCAUGGCUGUCGUCAGCUCGUGUUGUGAAAUGUUGGGUUAAGUCCCGUAACGAGCGCAACCCUUGUCCUUAUUUGCCAGCGAGUCAUGUCGGGAACUCUAAGGAGACUGCCGGUGACAAACCGGAGGAAGGUGGGGACGACGUCAAGUCAUCAUGGCCCUUACGGGUAGGGCUACACACGUGCUACAAUGGCCGGUACAAAGGGUUGCGAAGCCGCGAGGUGGAGCUAAUCCCGAAAAGCUGGUCUCAGUCCGGAUCGGAGUCUGCAACUCGACUCCGUGAAGUCGGAAUCGCUAGUAAUCGUGAAUCAGAAUGUCACGGUGAAUACGUUCCCGGGCCUUGUACACACCGCCCGUCACACCAUGGGAGUGGACUGCACCAGAAGUGGUUAGCCUAACUUCGGAGGGCGAUCACCACGGUGUGGUUCAUGACUGGGGUGAAGUCGUAACAAGGUAACC
This 729-nucleotide ribosomal RNA is filed under the name uncultured bacterium. RNAcentral describes it as "bacterial SSU rRNA". It matches the Rfam family "Bacterial small subunit ribosomal RNA", at positions 771 to 1501 of the family's 1533-position model. The record is from RNAcentral.